AAAUAUAUUUACAUCUUCUUUUGCUGGCAUUUGGAAUGAGAGAGGUAUAAUCAUUAUGUGUGAUAGUUGGUCAAGGCCCACAAGAAAAUACAUAAUAAACUUUUUAGUUUACUCCAAUAGAGGCACUGUUUUCCACAAGUCAGUUGAUGCCUCUGAUGUGCCGAGCCAAACAGCUGAAUAUUAUUUCAGAUAAUUUUCUAAUUUUAAUUUACUUUGUACCACUUGAUGACUUGCAUAUUUUUAAUUAAGUAGUAGUAAUUAUUGAAUAUAUAAUUUCAUUUCAGAUUAAUGGACGAGAUGGUUGAAGAAAUUGAGAGGAAAAAGUUGUUCAAGUAGUAACCGAUAAUGAAACUGCAAUGAAGGCGGGAGGGAAAUUAUUAAUGCAAAGGAUACCCAAUCUCUACUGAACAACAUGUGCAGCUCAUUGCAUAGAUCUUAUUCUUGAAGAUAUUGGAUACCUUUUGAACCCCCAAUUUCUGUAUGGUGCCCGACCCUUUUCUAAAGUUGCUAAAGAAGUUAUGGAGUUAAAAAAGUGAUAACCAAGCUGGUGCCCGAUAUAGAUACUCAAAUCCGGGCUAUUAAUCAAUUUUUGCUAUAUCGGGAUAGGCAGGAGACAUUUGGAACUCCAUUAGCCCAAAGGGCAGCAAAACAAACAAAUCUUGCCGAAUGGUGGAUUCAUUAUGGCAUAUGUGCUUUUGAGCUACAAAUUAGAGUUCUUAGUCAAACCACAUCAACUUCAAAUUGUGAGCGUAAUUGGAGCACCUUUAGCCUCAUCCUUACGAAAACAAGAAAUAGUUUAAAGUACAUGAGACUACGAAAACUUGUUUUCGUGCAUUACAACAUGAGGUUAAAGUUGAGACAUACAAUGAGAAAAAACCAACAAGACAUUGAAGAUAUCUUUAACUCUAUUAAUUUGGACUAUAUUUUCAAAGAAGAUGAUCCUUUGAGUCCAUGGUUACAGGAAAGAGAGAUACCAUUACUCGACGAUCUGGACAACUGAAAUUAGUUAGAUGAAGAGGUCAGUGGUACUGCACAAGGAGAUGAUCAGCCACCAAUAAAUGUGCAUGAUUCAAGUUCAAGUCUUGAACGUACACAAAGUGAUGAUAAUCUUGAUUUGAGCCCACCAAGUGAUGAUGAUGGUGGUAGUGGUCCUAGUGGUGCUAGGACUGGGGCUGGGGGUGGUGGCGGCGGCGGUGCGCAAUAUGGUUAUGGGUAUGAUACAGGGACAUCAUUUGUAGGGGAAACAUAUCCUCAAAAUCGUUGUGGACUACUUGAUAUACCCAAAAAUUAUGACUUGGGUAUUCCUCCAGGUUACCAAUCUUCACAACCCAGGAGGAGUAGCCAACAACGAGAUCGUGAUUCUACUGAAGAUUCAUAUGGUGUGGUUCAUAGUUUUGACGACUUUGGUUUAGAUGAUUCAUCAUCACAAUCAUAUGGAUCUCAUCCAGCAUAUCCAUCAUCUCGUAGUGAGUUUUCUUCUACACACUUCCCAGAGCCAGCUCCAGCCCCAACUUAUGGACAUUAUUCAGGAUAUGGUCAAAGAGGAGAUUAUGCACCUCCUAUAUCAAUUGGAUUUUCACCACCAUUACAUUUUGAGGAGCAACAACGAAAUGAUGCAAACUUGGGUUUAUUCAGCUAUGUAUUUCGACAAGGAUAGGGAGAUAAUUUCCAAUCCUAAUCUCAAGAGACAGAUGCAAAUUAUGAAGACCCUCCGCGUAAUUCUUUUUGGUGGUGACAUGUGUUAUGUUAUAAAUUUAUAAUAUUGUAUUCAUGUAUUUUCAAUUAUUUAUUGAUAUUUGAUACCAAUCACUUUUCAAAUUCAUGUAUGUGCAUUGUGUAAAUUGAGUAUUGAGUCUAUUGACUCAUUUUUAGAUACUUUAUGUCUUUAAUUAAUUGAUUCUUCAUUUUAAUUA
Molecule: long non-coding RNA, 1913 nt
Organism: Malania oleifera
Lineage: Eukaryota; Viridiplantae; Streptophyta; Magnoliopsida; Santalales; Ximeniaceae
Exons: 4
Source: RefSeq, a predicted model, not a curated record